UGUUUUUUUUUUUUUUUUUUUUCCAACUAGCCUAUAUGAAAUUUACUCAGAAACUUGGAGAGAAUUAUGGUAACUAUCUCAUUCCUUACCUAAUUAAUUCUUUCCACACAGAAACUUGGAGUGAAUGUUCUUUAUUUUUGUUGUUUUUCUUGCAAUAUGAUAGGCCAUAACAAUAACAAAGCGUUAGUCACAAAUAUUGAGGUUAUUAUGGAUGAAAGCUAUAGCUUGGUGUUACCACUCAAAGUAUUCUCUGCUUUUAAGGAUAGCUUAAUUUCAUGGAGAAUGAUUUUUGGACUUCUCAACCAGUAAGACUUCAUUGAACAAGGAUUGCUUGGAGAGUUCUGUUACUUCAUAACGAAGGCAUUCCUUUCAUCUUUGGAUUAAUUUAUUAAGGUUGCUUAGCAUACCAUGGAUUAUGUUAGAGAUAUAGCACCUGUGAAAUAUCAUAUGAAUCUAGCACCUUGUUGGAGUUUUUUGUUUAGUGCUCUGCCUGAUAGGUUCAUGCUUGAUGGUAUAUUUGUGUUGCUGUUGUCAAGUGUCAUUCUUUUGUUUUCCUGAGUUGUAAUUGUCUUAGUGCUCUGUUUGCUGGUUCAGACUUGCUGUUGUAUAUGUGUUGCUGGUUUUCGGCUUGGUUUCAAUGAAAUUUCUGCCUCAUUAUCCAAAAAUAAAAUAAAAUAAAAUCUAGCACCUUCUAUUCUCAAGAACAGGAGUUCCUAACUUUUCUAAUGGCUUUUAAAUUGAAUACUAGACAACAAAAGCUAUCAGACAGAAGGGAACAAAUGAUUUUAUUUCUAACAAUUUGAGUUCCAAAGUAAAAUUAUAAGGUCUUUACACAAAUUGAACCCUUUUUCCUCAUUUUUUGUAAAAAAUUUCCAAUUAUGUUGUAUAAGUAAAUUCUCUUCUGGGCAGAAGUUGGCUUUCAAGGUGAAGGCAAGACUGUUCACCUAAAUGAGAAAGACCGAUGCUUUGAAAACAUGAACUUCCUCUCUUUGUGGUCCUGGGAUGUUGGAAUGGAUACCAAGGCUUAUUUGAUUGAACUCACUGAGUAAAAUUUGGCUCAGGGUGAUAUCGAGGUAAUAUUGCAAGGAGAAUUAAAUCUUACAACCAUGCUGCUGGAAUUAGCUCAUUGUAUAGGAAUUUUGCUGCUUCAAAUCCUUUUUAUAUGUGGAAAUUUGUCAAGAGUAGACUAAGCUUUUCACAUUCCAGGGUUCAAAAUUUAUUUCAAAAGGAUUCAAUUCGUGUGUCUACAGGUGCACACAUCUCCAUUCUCAGUUCCCUUCAAAUUUAUUAAAUACCAGAUUAGUUCUCUCUUAGCUUUUCCCUUUGGUUUCAGGUAUGGGGACUUUAUUAGUUAUUGGGUUCUAUACUUCUAUAUGCAAAUGCCUGAGGAUAAUUGAUAAUACAGCAGACAGGAGUUUAGUAAUGCAUGUUUUUCUAAAUCUACUUGGUACAAAAAUUAUGCAGAAACUAAGAAAAAGAAUGGUUCCCAUGAAUGAAGACCAUGCUUUUAAGGAUAGUUUAAUUUCAUGAAUUAUUAUUUGAAGAUAUUUCCCCAUGGUCUUGGCGCUCAUUGAUGAAGACAAAAGGUGUUGGAAGGUUGAUUUUGUUAGAAGAACCUACCUACCUUUGAAGCAGACAUCAUCCUAAACAUCCCUCUCAGCUACACCCUCCUAGAUGAUCAAAUCAUAUGAAUUGGAAGCAAGAAAGCCUAGCCUAUUUGGUACAACCAGAAUCAGAUGGUACAUGAGUCAAUCUCAUCACUUCCCAUCCAAAUAUGGGAAACUGCUAGGAGAACUGUCAAGGAUUGCAAAGGUGCCCUUAUCAACUGCAUUUCAGCUGAAAUCCAACCCAGCUUUGUGCUGGACUGCCCCACCUCCUAGCACUCACAAAUAUGGUAGAAAAAGUUCUCAUAAAUGAAGAUUGUUGGCACUUAGAGACUUCUUAACUUGAUUAGUUCUGUGAACAAAAGGAUUGUUUGGUGAAUUUUGUAAAAUCGUAAACAAGACAUUUGCUUUCAUCUUAGCUCCAAUUUCUCAAUGUUGCUCCAAUUUCUCAAUGUUGCUUACCAUACCAUGAUGUUAUAGACACAUUUUGAGAUAGGAAACCUGUAAAAUAUCAGAUGAUGAAAUUUCAAAUGAAGAAAUUUCAGAUGAAGAACCAAAGAAACCUACUCUUAAGAAGUGGGACUUAAUGAAAGCUUUUGGGUGCUGCAAUUGUUCAACAACUGAAUAACUCACUCACUGAGUCAAAUUGGCACAAGGUAAUAUUACUUGGGGAAUUGAAUCCGGUAACCAUGCUGUUGGAACCACCUCAUUGUACAGGUGUUUCAAGCUUUUAUCAAGUACAUUUGUAUAGCCAGCUUUCUACAACAAUAUGUGGCUUUCUCAAGUGAUUCUUGGACUUCUUAACUUGAGGAGUUCCAUGAACAAAAGGAUUGUUUAGUGAGUGCUGUAAAAUCAUAAACAAGACAUUUGAUUUCAUCUUUGCACCAAUUUCUUAAGGUUGCUUACCAUACCAUGAAGUCUUUGCACUUUUUUCUCAAGUUUGUUUACCAUACCACGAAGUUAUAGACAUUUUGAAAUAGGAAAUCUGUAAAAUAUCAGGUAAUUUUAUUUCCAAUAGUUGAGGUUCCAAAAAAAUUUGUAAAUAUAGUCUUGGCACAGAUUGGAUAUUUGAAUAUGUAUGUUUUUCAUUUAUUUUUAUUUUUUUAGUUA
Molecule: long non-coding RNA, 2714 nt
Organism: Quercus lobata
Lineage: Eukaryota; Viridiplantae; Streptophyta; Magnoliopsida; Fagales; Fagaceae
Exons: 11
Source: RefSeq, a predicted model, not a curated record